GACCCGUCCCUCUGCUCACCAAAGCCUCACAGCCCACAGUUCCUUUCAAGGUGAAAAAAUUCAUGCACUGAGCUCUUAGUUUAGUAUAAUAUGUCUUUUAACAUCCAGAGUGUUUGCUAUAGUAUCAUUUUCAUUAAUCAUUUCUUAUCAAUCAAUCAUUUCAGCCUUUGACCCAAGCUAAAAUACAGGGAAUGAGGGAAGAAUGGUGUGCCAUGUGACCUAGACAGACCCGUCCUGGGAGCUCCGUGGAUCCUGUGUCAGGUUAGGUUGUUUCCCCUGUAUUCCCCCACCUACCUCCUUUUCUCUCUGAUUCUAAAUAACAAUGCCAUGUGCCUUUAAGUCAUUUGUGGAAUUGUUUUGUUCUACCCUUUGUCAGGAAUAUACCGAUAUGAGUAAAAUAAAAAGGAAUACAAUGCCAUUAAUCACACAGGGGCCUUUGCAAGCAUUUGACGUAGAACUGGAGACAGCUGGCCUUUGUGUGUCUGUGUGUGUAUGUAUGCCCUCCUCCACAGCGCUUACAGGAAGCAGUGGGGGUAAUUGAUGUUGUCUGCCACCCAUUCCCGUGUGACUCACCAGCCCGCGCUGCUGCCUCACCAGCAACGUCUUCCUGGAGUGGCACAGUCUCUCCUACAGGAUCAGGACAGUCUGGGGAGCAGGCAGAGAGGAUGACGAACACAGACUCGCCGUAGGAGGACACCAUAAUCACCAUCACCUGCAUGACCUUGAUGUCGAAACUGAUUUUGGAUCAUGAAAAAAAGGACAGUUUUGCCUUGGAGUAUUGAUAUCACAAAACCAAACAACUCCCCUCAUCUUGACUAAAAUGAUUCAAGAACCUUCUAUACCUCAGAAAUAGAAACAGCAAUGACUCAGGCUCAAGGUGGUGCGAUUCAGUAUAGCUGGAUGCCUGCAAGGCGGACUCACCCUCCAGGGUCCGUCUUCACAUUGGAAGUGCUCAUGUGUCCCACAUCUGCUGCAUCCAAGGCCAGUGAAGCCCAGGGUGCAGCCCCGGGGGAGUGGGAAGAUACAAGGUGAAAAGACUCAGUUUCUGUCUUCAGGGAAUUAACAGUCUAAUAUGAAGAGGAAAAAAUAUAUAUAUAAAUAAACACAAUACAGGAAAGCAUAUGAAUGAUGUCUUAAGAAAGCUUUUCACCAAAGUGCUUUAGAAAUCAAGAGAAGGAAAUGGUAUUUGCAUCCAAGGUAUGUCCUUCAGGUGCAUCGCAGAAAUCCUUCAUUUUGCAAAGUCAGCUGCAGUACAUGUUGAUACCCUAUGACCCUAAACCCAACCUGAUUCUAAUGCUUUCCUGUGAGUGACUUUGAGUUGAAAAACUGAAGUCGUUUACCAGUAUAGCUUAUUCUUCAUCCAGGUCCCUUCUUCCCUGCAUUUGGCUGGGUGUCCCUGAAGGUCACUUGGAUGUCUGGGCCAGCGUGGCAGCAUGCCUUCUCCUGGGGAACCAGGCCAUCUUGUGGCCAUUUCUGUAGGGCCUGGAUUCUGACGAUGGCACCUGGAUGUGACUACCACCUACCUUGAAUGGAGACAGGCUUCUCCAGAAAAGAACCUUGUCUCAACUUCAUCUGCAGCACUGGGCUGCCUUCACCUUUUCCUAAGCAGAUUACAAAUACAAGAUGCCUGAAAAAAAGAUUCAGAAAUGGGGACCACAAAAAACAAAAUAAACAACAGAAAACAAGCAAGACAAUACAAGACAAAUCUGUGGUUGUUUCUUGAAUGAAGCAUGUUUUUAUUUCUGGAUUAUGGCUCAAUCUCUUAAUUUAAGAGAUUUAAAAAAAUGAAUCUCUUUGUUGUAAGGGUAAAGAGAAUUUCCCAUAUAAAAUAAAACGAAAGGCUCAGAUUAAAGAAAGCAACAUUACCAGCUCGCUUUCUCCCAUUGGCCACACCACCGACAUCUUUGUGCCUCGGGAUCUCAGACGGAACUUCUGAAAACUCAUCUUCUCAAGUCCUGCUUCUGCAGUGAGGGCACGUCAGCCUCCUGCCCUGGGUAUAAUCACUUUGAUUUUCUCACAAGAUCUGGCAGAACUGACGUAGCCCCAGUGCCUUCCACAAACAACUCCCUUUACAACAGACCAGCUGCGCUUUUCAUUUCGUCCCGCUCUUGCAUUUCCCUCUGAUCCUUGAACGUAGACUGGCCUGUUUGGAGACCUGGCAUCUGUACUUUGAAAUCCAGGAGAGCAAAGGAGCCUUGAGAGCGUGACCAGGUGGUCUUCAAAGGAAUCAGGCUGAAUUUUGACUAACAGGAAGAUUUUUAAGACUUUGAAGCCUUGUGUAUCUACUGGGACUCGGAUUUUAAAAUGCCACAGUCAGUAGACAUCUUCUGAUCUCCAGAAGCACAUAUUGUAAGUUCUGGGUCACUCACCUUCCCACGGCGUCCUGAGUUUUCCCAGAACCUUUGUUGCUCUUAGCAAGCCUUAAUGAAAACCACUUCCUCUGGACGUCUGCCCCUGUCUCCUGCUAGUUGCCGUCUUCCCAGCCAUCCUUGUACAGUGCUCCCGCCAGCCGCCACUGUCCCCACUGCUUCCUCUCUCUCCACCUGCUCUCUUUAUAACUUGACCUUCCUAAUCUUCUCUUCAGGGAGAAGAGCAGAGGUGGAGAAACACUCAUCUCAGUCAUGCAUCUUAGGGGGACUCCCAGUAGCUCUGAGUGCUUCAUUCAAGGAGGGCAUCAGUUUUGAUUUUCCCUCUUUCAGCAAAAUGCUUUACCCAGCAGCCUUUCCACAGGGCUCUGGCCACCAUGUAUCGCAGCUUGGGAGCUCUUUCUGAGUGGCCAGAGGAAGGCCCCUCCCCACGGAGUGAUGACCUUCUCUUUUGAAGCAAAUAUGUGCCUCUGACUCUCUGCAACCUUGAACUUUCCUUGUUGCCUUCUUUGGCCAGCCUGCAGCUCGAGCAUCUGAAUAUGGAUGUGUAUACAGGUUCUGCUCAUUGCCCUGCAGCCCACCUUUACCCCAGGUAGGAGCAGUGAUAAUGGUGUUGAGAGAAAGAGUGAGAGCUCUGGGGUGACUGCCUGAGGGAACCGUGGAUUACUAGCUGUGUGACUUGGAGCACGUUAAUUACUGGCUCUGAGCCUCACCUUCCUCCUCUGCAAAAUGGGAGUAACAGCAGAAGCUACUCGUAGGUCAUUGAAAGGGUUAUUCGGGAUAGUACACAUGAAGAGCUUAAAACAGUCCAUGGCAUACAGUAAGUGGUCAAAAAAUGUUAGCUGGUAGUCAAAAUAAAAGUAGAGGGAGACUUAAUUGCAUUAAAAAAACCACUCAAGUUUGCUAACUCCCAGUCCAUCUUAGAGAGGCAUGCUGUCAUCAUCGUCCAAAUCUCAUUCUUGCCCCACCAGGUAAGAACCCAGAGCUCUGUCCUGCCUUCCUCUACCUGUGAAGUAGACAUGUGAGUGCCUUCGCCUUCUCCCUUCCUCCAGGUGCCCAUGGCAGGAUAGGCAGUAUAUGCAACACCAGGAUCCCUUAAACCUUCACUUGCACAGGAAUCUCCUGCAAGUCUUAGGAAAAUACAGAUUAUGACCAUGUAGGUCUCAGGUGGGGCCUGAGACUCUGAAUUUCUCUCACAAGUAGGUGCUGCUGCUGCUUCUGGUCUGGGGACCACAUUUUGAAUAGCAAGAACCUAUACGAUGAUCUGACAGGGAGGAGGGAACCCAUCCAGAAUAUUGGGCAGAAAGGAAGGCCAGGGGUUCAGCUGUUCUGGUUUGGUGUGGUGUUUCAGGCUCCCACGCUUUCUUCUCCAGAAAUACAGAGAUUGACUCUCGCUGGGAGGUCCUGAAAUGGCUGUUACAUACUUCCUGUGGCCAAGAUCAUCGUAUUUUGCCUCAGUCUUUUUAUUUUAUUUUAAAGAUUCAUAUGUAUAUAUGUGGGAGUUACAGAAAAUAUCUAAAAAAGGACUCAAAUAUGCAUUUUGAAAGCAAAGGCAGUCCCAGUAAGUGCAAGUAAAAUGUAUUUCUGAAAAAUGAUUCUGAUAUGCAUUUUUUUUUUUUUUAAAAGUCAGUUUCCCCUGGCCCCAUUUUUAAGUUUUAGGAAUACAUGAUAAAAAGUUCUUUUGACUCUGGAUGAACCCUCAGUCCCUGACCCUGCAGACCAUGUGAGGACAAGUGGAAAGACCUUGGCAUGUGAAGCUUUAUUGCAAUUUGUAUUAUUACUAGAAGAGCCGUAGGCCAGGAGGGUAUCUGGAUUCUUGUUUGAGAACUUGAGGGUAUGUGCUAACCUUAUUUAUGUUGUAAUGUCAAUGAUUCCUUGACUUAUGAGGGGAACGUUCCCUUAGUCAACUUCCGUGAAUGCAAGUUAUACAUGUUACCUAAUUUUUUUGUUUUCUGGGAAAAGCCCAUGGCUCCCACUAAGCUGAUAAGCUCUUUUGGUAUGUACAUGACUUUUCCCUUCUAUGUCUAAAUCUUUGAAUUUGCUAGGAUCUUAAGAAGUGUAACUUCAUACACUUUAAAAUCCUUAUAUCUUUUUAUAUUCUUAGGACCAUAUAACACACAUCCUAUCUUUAGGUAAAGAUACCUAAAGUUAUAUCCUAUUGGAUUUUGCAUAUUUUCUAAGGCUUUGUCUGAUUUGAGACCAGAAUUCUUUGGAUCACUCUAUUAUUAUCCCUCUGUGAGUUAAAAACUGCCUUUUAAUUGAUGUAUUUACAUUUAUAAUUUCUGUUCAUUGUUGAAUCAAUUACAUAAACAUGAUUAGGACUCAACAGAAAGACACUGGAGUAUUUACUUCUUUCAGAAUGUUUUAUGUUAAUUCUUUUUCACUUUGUGUAUAACAAGUAUCUUUCUACACACUUUGUUCCUCAGACCUCUUUGAGAAUCUGCUACACUACUGACACUCUCUCUAGAAAAAUCUACACAUACAUGCCAUUUUGUCCUGGUUCUUAAUCAUUGGUUAUUACUGGAUCACAUAAAAAAAUUAUUUUGUUGUUGUUGUUAAUCCUCACCCAAGGAUAUUUUUCCAUUGAUUUUUAGGAAGAGUGGAAGGGAGAGGGAAA
This is a long non-coding RNA of Myotis myotis, 4983 nucleotides long. RefSeq lists it as uncharacterized. The transcript is spliced from 4 exons. The record is from RefSeq and is a predicted model, not a curated record. NCBI's taxonomy places the organism in Eukaryota, Metazoa, Chordata, Mammalia, Chiroptera, Vespertilionidae.